GAGAGGUUAGAGAGAGGUCGGCCGGGAAGAUUAACGGACCACCGCCGGAAUCCAUCUCCAGACGAGACUCGUACCAGGAUUGAGGGGCUAUCAAGGCCUACGCACCAUCAAAGCCUAAGAACAUUUCGCGGGGAACAACUCACGCACGGUCUGUGAAGAAGUUUGGCCGAGACCUCAACCCAAAGGCGGAGAUCCGAGGGUCAUCCGAGAACGGGACUUAAUUUAGAGAAAUCAGUAGUGUUGGACACCUCACGGGCAAAGAAACGCUAGCGAAGGGGCACGCGUCAACCAGCAAACAUUCACA
Long non-coding RNA from Cucurbita moschata (crookneck pumpkin), 304 nucleotides. RefSeq lists it as uncharacterized. The transcript is spliced from 4 exons. NCBI's taxonomy places the organism in Eukaryota, Viridiplantae, Streptophyta, Magnoliopsida, Cucurbitales, Cucurbitaceae. The record is from RefSeq and is a predicted model, not a curated record.